RNAcentral lists this ribosomal RNA (21 nucleotides) under Ascomycota sp. r429. Its description in RNAcentral is "partial 28S ribosomal RNA". The record is from RNAcentral. Lineage: Eukaryota; Fungi; Ascomycota.
NUGACCUCGGAUCAGGUAGUC